GGCACAAACUUGAAGUAGAAUAGUCGGGUAUGAUCAGCUGAUUCUACUAAUCUACUCUACUUCAAGUUUGUGCUC
This is a non-coding RNA of Haemonchus placei, 75 nucleotides long. NCBI's taxonomy places the organism in Eukaryota, Metazoa, Nematoda, Chromadorea, Rhabditida, Trichostrongylidae. The record is from Rfam.